RNAcentral lists this unclassified non-coding RNA (253 nucleotides) under uncultured Halomonadaceae bacterium. RNAcentral describes it as "contains 16S-23S intergenic spacer region". It matches the Rfam family "Bacterial small subunit ribosomal RNA", at positions 524 to 776 of the family's 1533-position model. Lineage: Bacteria; Pseudomonadati; Pseudomonadota; Gammaproteobacteria; Oceanospirillales; Halomonadaceae. The record is from RNAcentral.
UACGGAGGGUGCAAGCGUUACUCGGAAUUACUGGGCGUAAAGCGCGCGUAGGCGGCUUGAUAAGCCGGUUGUGAAAGCCCCGAGCUCAACCUGGGAACGGCAUCCGGUACUGUCAAGCUAGAGUGUAGGAGAGGAAGGUAGAAUUCCCGGUGUAGCGGUGAAAUGCGUAGAGAUCGGGAGGAAUACCAGUGGCGAAGGCGGCCAUCUGGACUAAUACUGACGCUGAGGUGCGAAAGCGUGGGUAGCAAACAGG